This 26-nucleotide small RNA is filed under the name Bombyx mori (domestic silkworm). RNAcentral's name for it is "piRNA piR-bmo-1499658". The record is from RNAcentral. Lineage: Eukaryota; Metazoa; Arthropoda; Insecta; Lepidoptera; Bombycidae.
UACUAUGGUUUGCUGACGCGGUUUGU